RNAcentral lists this transfer RNA (73 nucleotides) under Halomarina oriensis. Its description in RNAcentral is "tRNA-Pro". It matches the Rfam family "tRNA". From Rfam's summary of the family: Transfer RNA (tRNA) molecules are approximately 80 nucleotides in length. Their secondary structure includes four short double-helical elements and three loops (D, anti-codon, and T loops). Further hydrogen bonds mediate the characteristic L-shaped molecular structure. tRNAs have two regions of fundamental functional importance: the anti-codon, which is responsible for specific mRNA codon recognition, and the 3' end, to which the tRNAs corresponding amino acid is attached (by aminoacyl-tRNA synthetases). tRNAs cope with the degeneracy of the genetic code in two manners: having more than one tRNA (with a specific anti-codon) for a particular amino acid; and 'wobble' base-pairing, i.e. permitting non-standard base-pairing at the 3rd anti-codon position. The record is from RNAcentral. RNAcentral also lists the same sequence under 1 other name. Lineage: Archaea; Methanobacteriati; Methanobacteriota; Halobacteria; Halobacteriales; Natronomonadaceae.
GGGGCUGUGGGUUAGCCUGGUAUACUUGCGGCCUUGGGUGCCGUUGACCUCGGUUCAAAUCCGAGCAGCCCCA